This 496-nucleotide ribosomal RNA is filed under the name Escherichia coli. RNAcentral describes it as "partial 23S ribosomal RNA". It matches the Rfam family "Bacterial large subunit ribosomal RNA", at positions 1 to 536 of the family's 2925-position model. Lineage: Bacteria; Pseudomonadati; Pseudomonadota; Gammaproteobacteria; Enterobacterales; Enterobacteriaceae. The record is from RNAcentral.
GGUUAAGCGACUAAGCGUACACGGUGGAUGCCCUGGCAGUCAGAGGCGAUGAAGGACGUGCUAAUCUGCGAAAAGCGUCGGUAAGGUGAUAUGAACCGUUAUAACCGGCGAUGUCCGAAUGGGGAAACCCAGUGUGAUUCGUCACACUAUCGUUAACUGAAUACAUAGGUUAACGAGGCGAACCGGGGGAACUGAAACAUCUAAGUACCCCGAGGAAAAGAAAUCAACCGAGAUUCCCCCAGUAGCGGCGAGCGAACGGGGAGCAGCCCAGAGUCUGAAUCAGCUUGUGUGUUAGUGGAACGGUCUGGAAAGUCCGACGGUACAGGGUGAUAGUCCCGUACACCAAAAUGCACAGGCUGUGAACUCGAAGAGUAGGGCGGGACACGUGGUAUCCUGUCUGAAUAUGGGGGGACCAUCCUCCAAGGCUAAAUACUCCUGACUGACCGAUAGUGAACCAGUACCGUGAGGGAAAGGCGAAAAGAACCCCGGCGAGGGG